This 450-nucleotide ribosomal RNA is filed under the name uncultured bacterium. RNAcentral describes it as "bacterial SSU rRNA". It matches the Rfam family "Bacterial small subunit ribosomal RNA", at positions 328 to 792 of the family's 1533-position model. The record is from RNAcentral.
CAUCCAGACUCCUACGGGAGGCAGCAGUGGGGAAUAUUGGACAAUGGGGGGAACCCUGAUCCAGCGACGCCGCGUGAGUGAAGAAGUAUUUCGGUAUGUAAAGCUCUAUCAGCAGGGAAGAAAGAAAUGACGGUACCUGACUAAGAAGCCCCGGCUAACUACGUGCCAGCAGCCGCGGUAAUACGUAGGGGGCAAGCGUUAUCCGGAUUUACUGGGUGUAAAGGGAGCGUAGACGGUGAGACAAGUCUGAAGUGAAAGCCCGGGGCUCAACCCCGGGACUGCUUUGGAAACUGCCUGACUGGAGUGCUGGAGAGGCAAGCGGAAUUCCUAGUGUAGCGGUGAAAUGCGUAGAUAUCAGGAGGAACACCGGCGGCGAAGGCGGCCUGCUGGACCGCGACUGACGUUGAGGCUCGAAAGCGUGGGGAGCAAACAGGAUUAGAUACCCUGGUA